Molecule: ribosomal RNA, 2578 nt
Filed under: aquatic metagenome
Description: bacterial LSU rRNA
Rfam family: Bacterial large subunit ribosomal RNA
Source: RNAcentral
UAGUGGCGAGCGAACGCGGAUCAGGCUAAACCGUUUCAUGUGUGAUAGCCGGCGGGCGUUGCAUGGGCGGGGUUGUGGGACUUUCCGUUCUGGUUCUGCCGGACCAGUGAGGUGAGGUGCAGGCAUAGGUGAACGGUCUUGAAAGGCCGGCCAGAGAGGGUGUGAGCCCCGUAACCGUAAUGUUGUGCACGGCCUGGGGAGUAUCCCAAGUAGCACGGGGCCCGAGAAAUCCCGUGCGAAUCUGUCAGGACCACCUGAUAAGCCUAAAUACUUCCUAAUGACCGAUAGCGGACCAGUACCGUGAGGGAAAGGUGAAAAGUACCCCGGGAGGGGAGUGAAACAGUACCUGAAACCGUGUGCUUACAAUCCGUCGGAGCAGUCUUGUUACUGUGACGGCGUGCCUUUUGAAGAAUGAGCCUGCGAGUUAGUGUUACGUCGCGAGGUUAACCCGUGUGGGGUAGCCGUAGCGAAAGCGAGUCUGAAUAGGGCGAGUGUAGUGGCGUGAUCUAGACCCGAAGCGGAGUGAUCUACCCAUGGCCAGGUUGAAGCGACGGUAAGACGUCGUGGAGGACCGAACCCACUUCAGUUGAAAAUGGAGGGGAUGAGCUGUGGGUAGGGGUGAAAGGCCAAUCAAACUCCGUGAUAGCUGGUUCUCCCCGAAAUGCAUUUAGGUGCAGCGUUGCGUGUUUCUUGCCGGAGGUAGAGCUACUGGAUGGCCGAUGGGCCCUACAAGGUUACUGACGUCAGCCAAACUCCGAAUGCCGGUAAGUCAGAGCGCAGCAGUGAGACUGUGGGGGAUAAGCUUCAUAGUCGAGAGGGAAACAGCCCAGACCACCAACUAAGGCCCCUAAGCGUGUGCUAAGUGGGAAAGGAUGUGGAGUUGCGAAGACAACCAGGAGGUUGGCUUAGAAGCAGCCAUCCUUGAAAGAGUGCGUAAUAGCUCACUGGUCAAGUGAUUCCGCGCCGACAAUGUAGCGGGGCUCAAGUACACCGCCGAAGUUGUGGAUUUCACAUAUUGCCCUAGCCUUCGUGGUUCAGGGGUGUGGAGUGGUAGGGGAGCGUCGUGUGGGCAGUGAAGUCGCGGUGGAAACCAGCGGUGGAGCCUACACGAGUGAGAAUGCAGGCAUGAGUAGCGAAAGACGGGUGAGAAACCCGUCCGCCGAAUGAUCAAGGGUUCCAGGGUCAAGCUAAUCUGCCCUGGGUAAGUCGGGACCUAAGGCGAGGCCGACAGGCGUAGUCGAUGGACAACGGGUUGAUAUUCCCGUACCGGCGAAAAACCGUCCAUGCCAAGCGGGGGAUACUAACCGCCCGGAGCCUGCCCUAUCACCCUUGUGGUGUGUGGGUUUUGGCCGAGCGCGGGAUCUGAUCCCGGGAGGUAAGCGUAUUAACAGGUGUGACGCAGGAAGGUAGCCGGGCCGGGCGAUGGUUGCCCCGGUCUAAGGAUGUAGGGUCAGGGAUAGGCAAAUCCGUUCCUGUGUGUUUCGAGCACGAUCCUGAGAUCUGAUGGGACCCCCGUUCGGGGGGAUCCGGUGAUCCUAUGCUGCCAAGAAAAGCAUCGACGCGAGGUUUUAGCCGCCCGUACCCCAAACCGACACAGGUGAUCAGGUAGAGAAUACCAAGGCGAUCGAGAGAAUUAUGGUUAAGGAACUCGGCAAAAUGCCCCCGUAACUUCGGGAGAAGGGGGGCCUGCCCCGUGAUGGAGACUUGCUCUCCGUGAGCGGGUGUGGGCCGCAGAGACCAGGGGGAAGCGACUGUUUACUAAAAACACAGGUCCGUGCGAAGUCGCAAGACGAUGUAUACGGACUGACUCCUGCCCGGUGCUGGAAGGUUAAGAGGACCGGUUAGCCCUUACGGGCGAAGCUGAGAAUUGAAGUCCCAGUAAACGGCGGCCGUAACUAUAACGGUCCUAAGGUAGCGAAAUUCCUUGUCGGGUAAGUUCCGACCUGCACGAAUGGCGUAACGAUGGCCACACUGUCUCCACCAGAGACUCAGCGAAGUUGAAAUACGAGUGAAGAUGCUAGUUACCCGCGGCAAGACGGAAAGACCCCGUGAACCUUUACUAUAGCUUGGUAUUGGUGUUCGGAGUGGCUUGUGUAGGAUAGGUGGGAGACUGUGAAACCGGGACGCCAGUUCUGGUGGAGUCAUCCUUGAAAUACCACCCUGGUAUGUUUGGAGUUCUAACCUCGACCCGUGAUCCGGGUUAGGGACAGUGUCUGGUGGGUAGUUUGACUGGGGCGGUCGCCUCCCAAAGAGUAACGGAGGCGCCCAAAGGUUCCCUCAGCCUGGUUGGAAAUCAGGUGUCGAGUGUAAGUGCACAAGGGAGCUUGACUGUGAGAGAGACAUCUCAAGCAGGGACGAAAGUCGGGACUAGUGAUCCGGCGGUACAUUGUGGAAUGGCCGUCGCUCAACGGAUAAAAGGUACCUCGGGGAUAACAGGCUGAUCUUGCCCAAGAGUCCAUAUCGACGGCAUGGUUUGGCACCUCGAUGUCGGCUCGUCGCAUCCUGGGGCUGGAGUAGGUCCCAAGGGUUGGGCUGUUCGCCCAUUAAAGUGGUACGCGAGCUGGGUUCAGAACGUCGU